This 509-nucleotide ribosomal RNA is filed under the name uncultured bacterium. Its description in RNAcentral is "partial 16S ribosomal RNA". The stretch from base 16 to 370 matches the Rfam family "Bacterial small subunit ribosomal RNA", at positions 43 to 396 of the family's 1533-position model. The record is from RNAcentral.
GACGAACGCUGGCGGCGUGCUUAACACAUGCAAGUCGAACGGAAAGGCCCUGCUUUUGUGGGGUGCUCGAGUGGCGAACGGGUGAGUAACACGUGAGUAACCUGCCCUUGACUUUGGGAUAACUUCAGGAAACUGGGGCUAAUACCGGAUAGGAGCUCCUGCUGCAUGGUGGGGGUUGGAAAGUUUCGGCGGUUGGGGAUGGACUCGCGGCUUAUCAGCUUGUUGGUGGGGUAGUGGCUUACCAAGGCUUUGACGGGUAGCCGGCCUGAGAGGGUGACCGGCGACAGGGGGAGGGUGAGACCGAGCAGUCAGGGAGGGGAGGGAGGAGUGGGGAAUAAGGACCAGUGGACGGAGGCGUGGCGCGGCAACGGGGGUUGCGGCAGCACGGCCGGCGGGUCGUAAUCCGUCUUCGCGUGGGAAGAGGGUUGGGUGGCGGUAUGGGGUAGCGAAGACCCGGCGAACAAGGUGCAAGGACCGGGCUUACUAGACAGAACGGCGGGCGUUAGCAG